CCAGCCCUUAAUCCACCCCAUGCCGGGUGGAGGAAAGAAGGUUUUAAGAAUAAAAAAUCUCUUUCGGUGGGGAAAGAUAAUGACUGUCCCCAAUAAAGAAGUCCCGGGUUAAUUCCGUCCCAGCAGUCGGGGUAAUACGGAGGGGACUAGCGUUGUUCGGAAUUACUGGGCGUAAAGCGUGCGUAGGCGGAUCAGCAAGUUGGGGGUGAAAUCCCGGGGCUCAACCCCGGAACGGCCUCCAAAACUGUUGGUCUAGAGUUCGAGAGAGGUGAGUGGAAUUCCGAGUGUAGAGGUGAAAUUCGUAGAUAUUCGGAGGAACAUCAGUGGCGAAGGCGGCUCACUGGCUCGAUACUGACGCUGAGGUACGAAAGUGUGGGGAGCAAACAGGAUUAGAUACCCUGGUAGUCCACACCGUAAACGAUGAAUGCCAGUCGUCGGGCAGUAUACUGUUCGGUGACACACCUAACGGAUUAAGCAUUCCGCCUGGGGAGUACGGUCGCAAGAUUAAAACUCAAAGGAAUUGACGGGGGCCCGCGCAAGCGGUGGAGCAUGUGGUUUAAUUCGAAGCAACGCGCAGAACCUUACCAACCCUUGACAUAGAUAUCGUAGUUACCAGAGAUGGUUUCGUCAGUUCGGCUGGAUAUCAUACAGGUGCUGCAUGGCUGUCGUCAGCUCGUGUCGUGAGAUGUUCGGUUAAGUCCAGCAACGAGCGCAACCCACAUCCCUAGUUGCCAGCAGGUUAAGCUGGGCACUCUAUGGAAACUGCCCGUGAUAAGCGGGAGGAAGGUGUGGAUGACGUCAAGUCCUCAUGGCCCUUACGGGUUGGGCUACACACGUGCUACAAUGGUAGUGACAAUGGGUUAAUCCCCAAAAGCUAUCUCAGUUCGGAUUGGGGUCUGCAACUCGACCCCAUGAAGUCGGAAUCGCUAGUAAUCGCGUAACAGCAUGACGCGGUGAAUACGUUCCCGGGCCUUGUACACACCGCCCGUCACACCAUGGGAGUUGGGUCCACCCGAAGGCCGUGCGCCAACCUGUUUACAGGAGGCAGCGGACCACGGUGAGCUCAGCGACUGGGGUGAAGUCGUAACAAGGUAGCCGUA
This 1100-nucleotide ribosomal RNA is filed under the name uncultured bacterium. RNAcentral's name for it is "bacterial SSU rRNA". It matches the Rfam family "Bacterial small subunit ribosomal RNA", at positions 377 to 1504 of the family's 1533-position model. The record is from RNAcentral.